AUUGAAAUGUCAAAAGAGAUCCAUUGAUCAAGGUGCUAUACUAUAGGUGGACCGCAAUGUCAAAAUUGCUGUUCGGCCAUUGCUCGUGAAAAAACAAAUUUGUUUACAAAACAUAUCAUAUCUUUUGGUGACAAAUGCAUUCGUCGGCAAAAUAGCUGCUCGCGCUUUACUGUAGAUAUCUACAAUCAGCGGUCGAAUUAAAAACAGUGCAGAAGGAUGUUUUGAGGCAAAAGCAUGAAAUAGAAUCGUACGUAGUACAAAUUUAUCGGCACAAUCUGAUCAAGGACGGAGGCAUCAUCAAACGGAAACUACGCGAGAAACUUUUCGAAGAGAUAAAACUGCGCCGCAACACUCGUGUCAAAAUGGACGAGUUGGGCUGGGUGUUGAUGAACCACGAUUUGAUAACACGUAAUGAGCCAAACCAACAGCAUGCCAAUGGUAAUCGACCAAAUAAUUUUAAAUUCAACAUGGAGCAGUUGCGAAACCUACUGGAGCAGCACGAACAGAACAAUCACGCUGAGUUGACUUCCAAAAAGCAAAACAAAUUCCUGCGUAUGCUGGAUGAAUUUUACAAAACGACAAAGUUUUGAAGGAAAUUAAAGAGAUGGUAGUGGCGAAUCGACUUCUAUCGGAAAUUCGUCAUGUGACUACGGUGGAACGUAUGCUGAAACAUGCUGCUGCUUUGUAUGCCGAGAGUAUUUCCACACUGCCGAUGAGUAUACCAGUCAUUUCCAAAAAUUGCAUGGUGAGAAAUUUCUUAUUGUUGCGGCGGUGGAUCGAUUUCAGACUAGUCAAAAGUUCAACGUUCUACAUCACUACAAUGUCCUUAAUCCGGUGACAAUAUUCACGAUUUGCAACGUAUACCACACAGCCCUAAUAAAAAAAACAAGAAAAGACGGGUCUAAUAUUUUACAAUACAGAACAAAUCUACCACUUUCCACGAAAGUCGGAGAACCACUAUAUCGGUUCGACAUGGAAUGGCUAAUACAUAUAAGGCAGAAAAAAGGUUUAACUUUGGAAUUCAACAUCCUAUAUUUUCUCGUACCAUUAAGUUCAUGGCGCAUUUGAUGUCGGUCAUCGUAGCUGCUGCUAUGGAAAUGACGUGAGCAUAUACCUUGAUUUUUCUGAGGCUUCCAAUCCUUCGAUUGGCCACAGAAAAGUAUCCAUUUAUGAAGUCUAUCUCCAUCUCGGGGGAAAGUGUGGUAAACAAUGUCCGGGUUGUUUUUCGUUAUGCGGACCUUGUUUCCGCAUCCUUUUACUGCACAAUAAUACGGCAUCUGAAGAAAAUAAGAUAUUCACAAUAUAAUUUUGGCAUGAUAGAGAACCGCGAGAUGAACGAUUAUCUGUGGAGGAGUUGGACAACAGAUUUCUUAGACUUAUAGCACUUUAAUCACACUCACAAGCUCUUCAAAUCCUCACUGUCCCCCAAAACUAUUGAAUAAUAUGUAAUAUAAAUACCUUAUUGCAGCUCUAGUACACUAUUUUUCACGAAUAUAUAUUUGCUUAUUUCUUUCUUCAGUUGUUUUCCUCAGCGAGUUGAUAUGAAACCAUAACGACACAACCAAACAAAAAGUAAACAAUGCAGAAAGCUACGUCUCGCAACUCGUAUUGUCAUGAAAGUGUCAAGAACGAAACACCUAUUCGCGUUGACGGCGGAAUGGUGUCGACAUCUGGAUACGAUAUUAGUUUCUAUGAGGUCAACUAUUCUCUAUCAGAUUAGUCGACCCUAAGGCAGUUUUAAAUUGCUAAAAUUUGAAUGAAAUUUUUUUCUUUGCGUUAUUUGCCUUCUAUAAGUACGCUGUUCUGACCCCAAUUUAAACUAUUUUCUAUCAAUUUUCAGAUAUUCUCACCAAAACUUGCCAUUAUAAUACAAAAUUAUCUUUAAACACAAUUUGUGUAUGAUAUUUUUUUACUACUUGCAAGCAAAAGUGAUUUUAGUUUACCUAGAGUACUAAUUUGGUUUGGUAAAAAUAAUUUUCAUUCAUAAUUUUUAUUUUAAAAGCACGUUUAUGUCUUUUGCAAACCCAUAUUGUCAUGCCUGCUCCCCCAUUUCGUAAUACGAAGCUCAAUGCCGUCAAUGCGGAUAGUUUAGCAUCUUGCCAUUGAUCAGGAGUGUUAUUUUUCUUAUGAUAAUCAACACUAGAAAAGAGGUAUUGUUGUCAAGGGCAAAAAUAAUUAAAAUUAUAAAAUGAACAAACUACAUUUUUCCGUCAAUUGUUUAAUUAACCAUUGCAUCUCUGAAAGAGCAUCUCAGCCUUUCACUGAGAAACGCAUUUUUAAUGUCCCCUCUCUUUGACAUAACGUUUUUCCGAACGAAAUAAAAACAAACGUCAGUCAGAGUCACGUAAAUGUUUACUCCUGCGAUUCGAAAAUAUUCGAUAAAAAGUGGAAGGACGAGAUGCCAGAUGAUUUUUAAAAAAAGUCUGUAAAAACAUGUGAAUGUCUGUUAAAAUGUGGAAAAGUCUGUAAAAGUGUGCAGAUUUAUAGAAAUGUCUUUUGACGUUAAUUUUCACAUAUUCAUUAAUACUUUGUACAUCGCGAUGCACGUAAGAUUGUAUUUUGUAUAGUGGUUCUUAGAUCUUCGUCAAAAGUGGUAAUUUUGUUCUUUAUCGCAAAACAUUAGACUCGUAUUUUUUUUAUUUUUUCAUUUCCAUUUUAGGGUGAUCCAAAAAAUCAUUUUUUUCCACUAUUUCCCCAAAUGACCUUUUUUCUAAAAUUUAUAACUUUCGAACCACUUAACCGAUUUAGAUGAUCGACAUAUCAAAUUGAAGCCAAAGAGCUUUAAUUGAGAAGUAUUGAACUUGCAGAUAAUAUGGAUCCUAUUUUCGUAAUUAUUGAUUGUAGUCGUUUUUUAAUGUUUUCAUGGCUUUGGACUAGGGGGCGCUAUAUUUUUUCAUAUUUUUUUCUUGAAAGCUGAGAAUUUUCUACAUAAAAUAUCUCGAUAUCAGAGAUACUUUUUUUUCCGUUUUUGAAAUAUGAUUUUUCAAAACUAAUC
Toxorhynchites rutilus septentrionalis is the source of this 2995-nucleotide long non-coding RNA. RefSeq lists it as uncharacterized. The transcript has 4 exons. Lineage: Eukaryota; Metazoa; Arthropoda; Insecta; Diptera; Culicidae. The record is from RefSeq and is a predicted model, not a curated record.